UUGCUCUCAAGACGUUUUUGAGAUGGCAGAGUUGACAUUUUGCUUUUAUUUCAUCCUCACAAGAUGUGAAAAAUUCACAAAUGGGACUUCUUGAAAGAAUCAAAACUUGAGAAGUAACUGAGAAGUAGAAGCAGCUCUUAACAAGCAUCAGGGGCUCAGAAGAGGUAGCUCUUCCCAGGGCAUCCAGCGGGCGAGCUGUUCCAUGUGCCUCUGAACCCAGCUUCCCACUUAGCAGCAGGUCUUGAGUGCACCUGGCAUACACCUGUGCAAUUCUCGUCAACACAGAACACCUGCCUGCCCACCCCCGGUGCUGAAGACCGACCAGUCAAGGAGGUGUUGGUGGGAGUGUUGUGUUCACCAUGUGGAGAUCAGGCGGCGAUUACCGCAUCUUCUUUGCUGACUUUGGUAACCGGGUGUCCAGGGAGGAGCGAUCGGGAGUGGCCAAGCAGUUGCCUGGACUCAGCUUCUGACUCUGCAGCUGGGAGUCAGAUGCAGGCCCAAGGGUCCAGGGGAGUUGUUCAGCGCCUGGAAUCGCCAUGCAUUGCGCGGUGGACCGCACGACGCUCCUGCUCUGUUCUCCCAGGCACAGACAGGCACUUGGAAGGCAGCUUUGCUCCUCUGGCCACCCGGAAACCUCCCAGCAGUUCAGAUGGGACAAACUGGGGGCCUGUCAGAACAGCCACUUGUGCCGGGAAGGCCAGGCCCCGGCCUGCUCCGAUGAACGUCAGGACGGUGGCUGCAGCAGGGAACCAGGGCUGGCCUUGGAUCUGUCCAGUAGGGUCACUGACUGGGCAGGGCUUGCUGCAUAGAGGAUGGCUGCAUUUUGUGCUCAGAGUUGGUUGAAAUGGCUACGAAGUGUGGAGAAUAACCACUGAAUCCCAAAAAGUCACUGCGCUUGAUCUGAUCCAAGUAACAGUGACUGCAGUUAGGGUCGAGAGCUUCUCCGAAGCAGCGGUCAUGCAGGCUUUUGUGUGGCUGACGCUUCCCUUUUUCACAACAGUAAAAAGCUAUCAAUGGGAAAUUGUGGACUUUUCCCACCAGGGACUCAAUGGGGACUCAAUGUGCAAUAUUCAGUCAACAUAAAACUCUUUAAGAACUCCUCCUGACUGGUGACUGUCAACACUUGAUCUGAAACGUGAAUAGUUUAAUUUUCCUGAGCAAGGAGCUGCGAGUCUAGCUUUAGAAAAGCCCCUAGGAGUGUCCACCUCCACCACUUCCACCGUGCAGGCAGGUUUCAGGUGGGUUGGACCCUGUGGGACUUGCCGUCUGAGGGAUGGAUGGACUCCGAGCACCCUCCCCGGCUCAGCACCCGCGGCCUCCGCCCACUCAAUGGACUGUGCCUCCCAGAGCUUGGGCUGGAUGGUCUCCCUGCAGAGGACCAGGAGCUCUGUCCAAGGCCUCGCCCUGGGACGCUGGAAGGGGUGGGAAGGGUCAGGGGUCCGGGGUCUAGGACAGGCUCAGGGGUCUCAGCAGGUUCUCCUUGGAGGGCCUGAGCCUGGUAGGGGGGCGGUGCCCUGGGCCCCUCCAUGCCCCCUGGUUUGUUAAGGGGGACAGAGCAGCUGCUGGGCCCCACCAUCCACUUAAGGACUGGCCGUGAUUCUUGGCAAGCUCCGCCCGCCAGGCCACCUCUCACCCAGCCAGGGCACCCCGGGCGACCUCCGCGCCAGGUGCGACAGCUCAGGCCGGAGACCUCGUCUGUGGGGACGGGCCGUGUCCGGGGCCGCCACCCUGAGACCGGGCGCGGGCAGGACGGAACCUGGGGGGGAAACGGGGCAGGUACUGGCUUUAGGAGUCUAAAUCCCCAAACGCUGAGCAGACGGAAGACGUUCCUGCCACUUUACCUGCAGUUCAAAGACCUGGCGAGGGCCUGGAAACGGCGCUCGGCCCAGGCCGCUUGCGGGCGCUGGGCCUGCAGCCGCUGCAGGUCGGGCCCUGAGUCCUGGCGCUCGGGAGGUCCCUGAGUCGGUCCCCGAGUCAGUCCCCGGGCGCGGGGCUCGGUUGGGGGGGCCCGGAACCUUGGGCUGGUUUCACGCAAAUCCGUUUGGGGCGAGCCUCGGUUUCCCGGCAGCGGUGGGAAAGGGCGCGAGCGGCCAGCCAUGGCGCGCGGACCCUUCCCGCCGGCGGCGUCACAGCGGCGUCUCCUCCU
This 2146-nucleotide long non-coding RNA is filed under the name Homo sapiens (human). RNAcentral's name for it is "long non-coding RNA NONHSAT099876.2". The record is from RNAcentral. Lineage: Eukaryota; Metazoa; Chordata; Mammalia; Primates; Hominidae.